RNAcentral lists this transfer RNA (86 nucleotides) under Datura stramonium (jimsonweed). Its description in RNAcentral is "tRNA-Tyr". It matches the Rfam family "tRNA". From Rfam's summary of the family: Transfer RNA (tRNA) molecules are approximately 80 nucleotides in length. Their secondary structure includes four short double-helical elements and three loops (D, anti-codon, and T loops). The record is from RNAcentral. Lineage: Eukaryota; Viridiplantae; Streptophyta; Magnoliopsida; Solanales; Solanaceae.
CCGACCUUAGCUCAGUUGGUAGAGCGGAGGACUGUAGUGGUGCAGCUGAAAUCCUUAGGUCGCUGGUUCGAAUCCGGCAGGUCGGA